GCCAGGAGCUGUAGCAUGCACCUGUAAUCCCAGUUACUUGAGAGGCUGAGGCGGGAGGAUCACUGGAGACCGGGAGUUCAAGGCUGCAGUGAGCAAUGAUUGUGCCUGUGAAUAGCCACUGCACCCCAGUCUGGGCAACACAGUGAGAUCCUGUCUCAA
Molecule: unclassified non-coding RNA, 159 nt
Organism: Macaca fascicularis (crab-eating macaque)
Lineage: Eukaryota; Metazoa; Chordata; Mammalia; Primates; Cercopithecidae
Rfam family: Metazoan signal recognition particle RNA
About the family: The signal recognition particle (SRP) is a universally conserved ribonucleoprotein. It is involved in the co-translational targeting of proteins to membranes.
Source: Ensembl